RNAcentral lists this ribosomal RNA (496 nucleotides) under uncultured bacterium. Its description in RNAcentral is "partial 16S ribosomal RNA". It matches the Rfam family "Bacterial small subunit ribosomal RNA", at positions 29 to 507 of the family's 1533-position model. The record is from RNAcentral.
AUGCACGCUGGCGGCGUGCCUAAUACAUGCACGUCGCGCGAACAGACGAGGAGCUUGCUCCUCUGACGUUAGCGGCGGACGGGUGAGUAACACGUGGAUAACCUACCUAUAAGACUGGGAUAACUUCGGGAAACCGGAGCUAAUACCGGAUAAUAUAUUGAACCGCAUGGUUCAAUAGUGAAAGACGGUUUUGCUGUCACUUAUAGAUGGAUCCGCGCCGCAUUAGCUAGUUGGUAAGGUAACGGCUUACCAAGGCAACGAUGCGUAGCCGACCUGAGAGGGUGAUCGGCCACACUGGAACUGAGACACGGUCCAGACUCCUACGGGAGGCAGUAGUAGGGAAUCUUCCGCAAUGGGCGAAAGCCUGACGGAGCAACGCCGCGUGAGUGAUGAAGGUCUUCGGAUCGUAAAACUCUGUUAUUAGGGAAGAACAAAUGUGUAAGUAACUAUGCACGUCUUGACGGUACCUAAUCAGAAAGCCACGGCUAACUACGUG